Molecule: long non-coding RNA, 10542 nt
Organism: Anolis carolinensis (green anole)
Lineage: Eukaryota; Metazoa; Chordata; Lepidosauria; Squamata; Anolidae
Exons: 2
Source: RefSeq, a predicted model, not a curated record
GAACACUACCAGAAUGUAUCAGUGGCUAAACUGGUUCUGCACUAACAAUUCCUGUAGCUCAUUUGGAAAACUGGUACUGUAGGAAAGUGUAUAACCAUAAUGGCAUCCAUCGUAGAUUGUUUCUUUGGGUAUCUUGUUAGACAUGUUCAAAUUUUAAAUGGAAAGAUGUUAGGACUUGGACUGUCUUCAGAACCUUAUUUUAUAUGACAUUUCAACUUAAGAUGGAACACCGGCUAUAAUGGACUUUAUGUGAGCGCGGUUUUGUGCAUAUGCAGGUUGAGCAUCCCUUAAUCCAGAAGUUUCCACAUUGGUGGCUAAGAUAGUGACAGCUUUGCUUUCUGAUGGUUCAGUACGCAUAUACUUUGUGUCAUGCUCAAAAUAGUGUGCAUAAAUUGCAUUCACACUAUUUAUGUAUUUAUUUAUUUAUUAUAUUUAUUUACCGCCUUUCUCACCCCAAGGGGGACUCAAGGCCGUUUACAACAUAUUAAUGGCAAGAAUUCAAUGCCAACAUACAUAUAAUAGAAAAAUCAUAAUAGCUAAACACAAACACAUAGCUAUAAAUCAAAAUCAUUAAGCAUAGGCAUAAACAACAUUUGAAACAAAGACAAAUAAUUUUAAAACAUCCUAAGGUAAAUAUUAAAAUCACAUGAUCCAAAAAACUUACACUUUGGCCAUUUUGAUUGUCAUUGGACAUAUUUCCUAAUUACUCCUUAGAAUACAUUACUGGCCAAAUGCUUGCUCCCACAACCACGUCUUUAUUUUCUUUCUAAAGGCUGGGAGGGAGGGUGCUGAACUAAUCUCACUGGGGAGAGAGUGAGUAUAUUUGUAUAAGUAUAUAUAAAACAUAAAUUAGUAUUGCGUUUGGGCUUUGGUUCUGUGUCCCAAGAUAUCGCAUUAUGUCUGCAUUUACAAAUGCAAUUACUCCCAAAUCUGAAAAUAAUCCAAAAUCCCAAACAUUUCUGGUCCCAAGCAUUUUGGAUAAGGAAUAUUCAACUUGUAAUAUCACAGACUCAUGCCUAUUCCAUCUUAUUACUUUGCAUGUCUAGCAUCGAGCUGCAGGUUUGCAGCUUUCACACUAUAACAUUACUACUCCAUCUCAACUGCCAUGGCAACAUCUGUAGAGUCCAGGAGUUGAUGAUUUGGUGAGAAUUUUCCACCAGAAAGCUCCAUGAAUACCUCUCCAUUCUCCAAAACCACAGAAUGCAAACAUCGUAGAUAAAAUAGAAUCAUAGCUCUGCAAUUGUCUUUCUAGCACAAAGCUACAGUCUUUUAGCACUUUCUUAGGCCUCCUAACCUAAAGAAACUGAAGGAAGAAUUUGUGUUGGCUGCAGAAUUACAUGCUCUGAAGAGACAGCUGUUUGGUCUCUUCAAGGCUGGGAAUCUUGCCCAUAGUUAUCACACUUGAUACGUAGAAAUGGUCGUUUGGCUAUUGCAAUCCAUACCCAUGUGUCGGGGUGGCAUUCUGCCUGAUGACAGCCUGAGCAGCAUUCCCUCAUCAGGGAAGUAGUGUUGAGGCAAAGAGGGGUGCAUGUACUAUCUCUUUCCCAAAGGAAUUUUUUUUGUUUUCCUUUUUUAUGUUGCAGCAUGCAUAUGGUGGCCUGCCAUUUCUUCAUGAGCUUCUGUUUCUUUUGAGCACCUAAGUGUAGGGCACAUGAGAAGGCUGUAGAGCUCACAGCCAGUGCGCAGGAAAGAAAUCCAAUGACUUUCACAGAUGUCCCUUUUUAAAAAAUAAAAAUAAAAAGUGGAAAGAGAGAGACCUCUCUGGGAUUCAAAAUGCAUGUAACAGAGCCACCUUUCGCGAAAGCAAUAGCUAAGCAAACAAUGGCUUCCAGUGUUGAGCUUAAACACAGAGAGAGUUACUAGCGCCAGACUGCCAGAUCCUGUUGACCUCCAGGGCAUGCUAGAAGGUUUAUCUGUUUACAAGGCUUUUUAGAAUGGCAGAGGGGGAGGCAGAGGUACUAGAACCAGUAUUGGGUUUUUUCUUUUAUAUCUUCCUGGAGUAUAUAAGUAAAUCAAGGAGCUCUUGUUUAUUUUUUGACAUAUUUUCAUGGUGUUUGAAAUUGUGCCGAUGAAGAAAUAUAGAUAAGGUUGGAAUACUGCCAAAAAGGAUGGAUGAAAGUGGUGAAACACACACUCACACACACACACCAAUAAUAAAUGUGUGGUGACUUUUCCUGUAAGUGACGUUACAGGGAUUUGGCCAGUCAAUUGUGAUAUCUGAAAUAAAAGCGCCAAAAUGAUAGUUGUGAGCCUACUGAAAUUUAGGGUCAGUUUGUCAACUCAAAGUUUAUGUAAUUUCUUGCAUCUUUGGUAGGCCAAAGCAAGGUUUCCUGUAGAUACGGGGAUGUAUGCUGUACCUUAUUUGUGGAAUUAUCGUGAGCCAGAUUUCCUUAUUAAUGCCAUGCAUUUCUAUAGUAGAAACACCCUUGCUGACUGACAAAAGUUAAAACCAUAAAGUGUAAGGAUGCAGUAAAAAUAUCAUAAAAACCUACAAAGAUGUAAAACAGCAACUGAUUCAAAGUAAAUAUAAGCACCAGAGGAAAAUGAUGGAAAAUAUCUCAAUAGGGUUUUCAAACUGAAAUACAGUAGAGUCACACUUAUCCAACUUAAACGGGCCGGCAGAACGUUGGAUAAGCGAAUAUGUUGGAUAAUAAGAAGGGGGAUAUAAGGAAAAGCCUAUUAAACAUCACAUUAGGUUAUGAUUUUGCAAAUUAAGCACCAAAACCUCCUGUUAUACAACAAAUUUGACAGAAAAAGUAGUUCAAUACGCAGUAAUGCCAUGUAGUAAUUACUGUAUUUACGAAUUUAGAACCAAAACAUCACCACAUUUACUCCAAAAACAUUGACUACUAAAAGGCAGACUGCGUUGGAUAAUCCAGAACGUUGGAUAAGCGAAUGUUGGAUAAGUGAGACUCUACUGUAUUAGAAAUCCUGAGAGAAUAAAAUAACCAAUACAUUCAUAAUGUGACCACCUUUUGUAAGAAAAGCCCUUCAAAAUUGGGCUGCCGCUAACUGAGAAGCCUCUCAAUUUCUUUUGGAUGCCUGCUGCUAAAGCAGGUAGAGUUUUGUCAAUGUGUCUGUACCAUGUAGAGCUUGGACACUAUCCAGUCUAAAAGUCCCUAGUGAAGGUAAAUCUUAAUUUAAAUAUUUAUACAGAAAUGUUUAACAGAAAUCAGCUGUUCAAAACGUAUUUUCAUAGAUCCUUCAAAAUUGUACUCCAGUUGCUCCAAAGAGCAGAAAUUCAAAGUAGUGGUUGGAAGCCUGUAAACCUAUCUCCAAAUGUAAUGGAAUGGAUAAAAAGCUUCUACAUACAAAAUGCCCCAAAAGACAAUGAUCAAUUUGCACAUUUUCUAAGCCUGUUUAUGGACCUCACUAGCUUUCUGUAGAACUAUUCUCUUUUGUUGCUCUGUCCCAUUACCAACCUACCCCCAGCCACAUUGGUAAAACCCAUCUCACUUGCUCUUUCACGUCUUUGGUUGUCUGUCCAUAAGAAAAGGGGGAAAGAUAGGUGGUGGUUCUUCAUUAGGGUAGCAGAAAAGAAGGACCAUGACCUAUAUUUAUAGAUUUCUUUGCCCAGUCUUAUCUUCAUAGGAGACCUGGGUUGGAGUGGAUAGUCUAGAAUUGCAAAUAGUAGUCCAGAAUCAAAGUGAUUAGCAGGCUUCUAAAAUCCAGGCUCAUUAGGAAGUAGACAGAAUUACGGGUUUCAGGAGUGCUGUAGGAGACAAUGGACAAACAUAAUUUAGGAUUACUUGCAGAGGUCCCAUCUGAUGGAGAGGUGGUCAAGAACAUAUUCUAGAUCCAGUAAGACUAGUAUAAAAGCCUUGUUCUAGAAAGUCUUCCAUCCUAGAACAGAGUUAUAUUAGUUUUGGUUUUGAGUUGUUUGUUUGCUUUUGCAUGGGUGCUUCUCAGUUUGUGAAGCAGUAUGUUUUUCCUCAACUACACUUCUUGCAUACAAUGUGCUUUCUUUCUAUGUUUGAUAAUUGGACCAAUGCUCAGUGAUUAGCUGUAGGAUUCUGGAAGAAGUCUUGCUUGUCAAACCCCUCCCCCCCCUCUAUGCAUGUGGUGCCCUUUACGUACAAGGAGCCUUUUCCUGCAGCCAGGCAGUUCAGAACAUGAGGACACUUGCCUGCCCCUUUGUGUGUAACCACUUUCAAGUCGUUUCUCUUGUGUCUCUGAACUGGACCUCUCUCCCACCCAGCAGUAAGGGAAACUUCCAGUAAUUCUCUUAUCUCCUAUAUGAGAAGUCAGUCUUCUUCUGGGCCAUUAGCAUAAGGGGUUCCCAGGUGCUGCCAUUUAACCCAGGUCCUACUGGGCUGCAUGACAACCACACUAAGUAAACACAGAGCUACACUCCCCUUACGCCUGAUCAUUCAGUGCCAGGCAUGGGCAAAUCUCGGCCUUUAGGCGUUUCAAACUUCAACUCCCACAAUUCCUAACAGCCGGUAAACAGGCUGGGAUUUCUGGGAGUUGAAGCCCAAAACACCCAGAGGGCUGAAUUUUGCCCAUGCCUGUUCUAUGCCUUCAUUAGAGGGGACUUCAACAGUUCUGUUAACAUUUUGGGGCAACUGAUGGGGGCGGGUGGAAUGGUGUCAUAAGGUUUCCUUUAAAAACAAGGACCAUUGUAGUCGUCGGCUGACUGGUCACAUUAAUCCAUGGUAUUAAAUCGACAUUUUAUUUGACCCAUAGGCCAGUUAAGAUGUUGUAGAUCUCACUUGACCUUUGUAAUUUCCUAGUAAAUGUCAUCAAUAUAAAGAAUAAUACUUGAACUUCUAAGCUAACAGCUAAAUAAAUGUUUAGGGCAGAUGAUGCUAACAGUUGUAUUAUAGAUUACAAUGCUACAAGAAUAUUAUAGGAGAGAUACUUCCAUGUCAAUAUUUAGUAUUAGUCCAAUAUUUCCUCUUGUGUCAUACAGUCUUUCUGCUGAAGAUGUUUCCACUACUAAUCACCUCUACAUCUACUUUCUUUUGCUGUGUAUGAUAUUAGCAAACUAACAAUAAGUGUUCAACAUUUGUUCCAUGUUUGUUCCAUCAUGUUCUGGGCUGUUGUUGGCUACAAAUAUAGCUGAAUUUUUAUAUUAUACUAGCUGUGCCCGGCCACGCGUUGCUGUGACGAAGUCUGGUGGUAUGGGAAAUAAAAGUAUUGAGGAAUUGGUGGUAGUUAAGGUAAAGGGUAAAGGUUUUACCUUACAUUAAGUCCAUUAUAAAUGGGUAAUAUAGCUGUGUGGAAGGGCCUUGAGUCUACACUGCCAUAUAAUCCAGUUAAAAUAAGAUAAUCUGUGGAAGAGGCUGAGGCCUAAGUCUGCCUGUCCCCUGGGCUGAGUUGGUUGCUAGGAGACCAAGUGGGCAGAGCUUAGCCUUCUAAAUGGCAGCAAUUGGAUAAAAACAAUUAUUCCUUUCCCUCUAAUUAGGACUUUAUUUUUCUUUUCUUUUUGUUGUAUCAACCUAGAGGCGUGGAUAAUGGGUUGUGUUGUCAAAUUUCGAGGUUGGAGGGCCUGUAGUUUUGUUUUGUUGGUCGCUGUGAUGCCAUCACACUUUUAUAUAUAUAGAUAACCGCCCGAGGUUCCCUUUAAAAGGUUUGGAAAUUGGGAGUAUUAUUUGACCGAAACUCGAGCUUCUUCCUUCUCUCAAAGCCAAAAUUCCCAGAGAUUUCUGAUGAGACAGGAAGGCUAUUUCAUGCCUGUUGAUAUGGCUCUUGUGUCUUCUACCUAGAAAUUCUGAUUAAAAGUCAUAUUGCGCAUCAAUGGAUAGAAAAAUCUUAGGGAUUUCUCAUAACAGCUUCCAUAAUUCAUAUUGACAGGAGAAUUUUGAGAACAGUUGUUCCAAAAUAGCAAUGUUUCCAAACAAUUCCUUUGGCCUGUCAGCUUCCUUCAACAUAGCUAAAAUAAGAAAGGGAAUAAGGGGAUCACCUCUGCUAUAAAGAACAACCUUUUACAGAUAUAUUAUCUCUGAUGGCUCCAAUUUUGCCUGUCUUCACUAGCAGAGUGGUCCAUUCUUGGCUAUACAGAGAAAACUACAAUAUAAUUAAACCCUUUAUCAGAUUUAUUUUAGCAUGGGCUUUCAUGGAUUGCAACCCGCUUUCUCAGAAAACUCCAAGGAAUGCAAGUUGCAUUGGAAGAAGUGGAUUGUAAUCCAUGAAAGAAUAUCCCGAAAUAAAUCUAUGGGUGUCACGUGACACUUGCUUUGAUAUGCCAGUCUAGAUUCACUCCGCUGCCUCUUUGAAAAAUUACACCAAUGGAAAAAAUGCUGCUUUAAAAGAUAGCGGAGAAGUCAGAUGGGUGCUACUUGGGAGUUUUCAUUAAACCACAAUUAAGAUACGGCGAAAUAACUUAAUCUGUAGCAGACGCUAUUUUCAUCCAGAGUAUUAGGUUGCUGGGACAGGGAGCAGUGCUCAUUUUUUUAAAAGGAGGAAUGUGUUUCUCAUUAAGCUGUUAUGGGCUACAGGAUGUUAUCAAUCUGCCUUGGAGAGUGUUGUGUGCUCUGAAUUCAGGUUGGGCAAUGUGAGUGUGGUUUUAACUUACCGUAUAUGGGCACGGUGGGAGCUGGAACUCUUAGGUAGUUUACAAGGCUUUAAGGAGGGAUUUUGGAAGACCAGAAAGUGGUAAUUGCACAGAGGCAGUGGCAGCGAGAAACAGCGCCUGGCUUGUAAAGUGAGCUUGGGUUUCCUUACGGCCUGACCUCCUGAACUCUUUUUGGCACUCCCGAGCUGGAGAAAUGCAAACCCACGCCCAGCCAAAGCUUGUAGGCUUUUCAUUUAGCCCAGAUAAUGCAAUUAGCUGCUGCUGUCUUCUGAUAAGUCACUCCCACCCAGCCUUUGACUAAAUGCCCUGACAUUCUUCCAGCGCUUGAAUGCCACUUACCAAGGAAAAUAGGCCCGAGGACUGUACAUUUUUGUAAUUCCCUAACUUACUAUUUCUUCUUAGGAAAGAAUGGGUGAUUUUAAUGUGGUUUUUAAAAUUGUUCAUGAGCUCUAUUAUUUUAAAAUGUAAAAUGACAGUGGUACUUUUAACAUUAUUUAAAGCACUAUUUAAUUAAUAGUGCAUUAUUAAAAUAAACAUUAAUUAUUUAAUUGCAUUUCUUAGCAUUUGGUUUUAUUUGCCUUUCUCCUACCUGUACAUUAAAUUCAAAGGCGCAAAUCCUAAAUGAAGGAUAUCACUGUCACAACUAGUGUAGAGCAUAAUUGGAAAAGAUAGCAUUUAAUAAUGAUUGUACAACUCCACAAACAUUGGUGAUGAGGCAUUACAUGAUGUAUAUUCUGACAAUGUCCCAGUUCAGACUCUUGACUAAACAGGCUCUGAUGUCUGUAUGCAGAAAUAUAAAUGCAUCGGGUGUAGACCGCAUUAUCCAUGUGGAUGCUUGAACCCAUGACACUCAAAUUCAUAAAAGCUCUGUUUAGAUUUUGCUUUUCCAGCUUGAGUCCACAUGCAAAUAGGAAAAUAUCUAAUCCUUCUCCCUUCAACCUUGUUUUCCUCAUACAAAAAGUUACACAUAUGCAAAGGAAAUAUUUCCACUUCUAUGGAAACUCUCAGCAUGAACUGGAAGAUCAGUUCUACAUCUCUUCAAACUUGCAGCUCUCCAUGAGAGCACAACAAGGGUGGAGGAGGAGCUACAUACUGUCCUAUUCUCAUGUGAAUUCAAAUUGAGUAAAUAACAUCUAAAUGGAGAUUGUUUGAAUCUGGGGUUUAUAGUAUGAGCCACCACAUGGACCAUUGGCAGGCACCACUCCAUACCUAAAGAGAAACGCACCCACGGAAAGAGGUUAGGCUAAUGAUUCCUCUGUUCAUGUUUUCAUUUAGAUGGGAUAGGUCAGUGGUUCUCAACCUGUGGAUCCCAGAUGUUUUGGCCUUCAAUUCCCAGAAAUCCUAACAGCUGCUAAACUGGCUAGGAUUUCUGGGAGUCGUAGGCCAAAACAUCUGAGGACCCACAAGUUCAGAACCACUGCGAUAGGUAGUGCUGGACAAGGUUGUAAUUCUCUCUCCAGAAAAAAAAAGAUUACAUGAACUGAUCCAUCGCACGUACUAGCCUCAGUAUGGAUUAAUAUGCCAAAGCAGAGGUAAUGGAGGUCAACAACUGUUGAGUUUAUCUACAGCUUCUUCAUGUAUGGAAGUUGUGGGCAUUUGUGCAAAUCCAGCCAACAUGCUAGAAAAACAGACACAUUUUCUCUGAGUCACCUUCUCCCCAAUUGUUUUUGCAUGAAUUGAUCUUUAGAUUGCCACCGUAGGUUAGUUGUUUUUUUAAAAAAAAAAAAGAGGGCUGGAGGGUCAAAAAAGCAAAAGCUGAUUCCUUAGGCACAACCACAUUCAUUUUAGGCUUAGUAGGCCACAGACUCUAUAGGAAAACAAAGUUUAAAAAGUGAAAGAAAGAACUUUUUGACAUUCUUCCACUUCCAAAUGCCACAUGCUUAGUUCUUUUAAUAUUUAUAAUACUUUAUUUUCCAUAAAUCCUGAUUUGGCACAUGCUAUGUCAAGUUUCAAGAUGGAUGACUACUAUUGCUGUGGAUAGCAAUUUUGCCUGGGUUUAAUCCUAAAUCUUUUUGGGAGGUGAAGACAAAGACUAACUGAUUUGGGGAAUCUGUUCAUUUCAUAUUUUAAUACGUAUUCAAUUAAUUUGAACUUCUGAAACUAAUGGGAAGAUCUAUUCCAUAAGGCUAGAUAUUAAUACUUAUGAAUAUUUUCUACUCCACUUUUUCAGGCAAACUUUCAAAUUACAUCAUACACCAAUAAAACAAUUAACUAAUAAUAUAUUAAAACAGCAUUAGACAGGGGCAUUAACACUUAGGCUUAAAGACAUAUGUAUUUUGCAAAUGUAAACCAAUUUGAACUUGGGUUUUCCUCUCUAAAGGUCUCUUUGAUACUGUAAUCCUGAGAGAAUACUAAAAAUUCAUUGCUAGAAAUCCUAAGUGUCUUCUUUAAAGCUACCGCUCCAAGAUUAUUAUCUGGGUUGGAAGUUAGGUUAGUUUGAAGACAUUUCUUUCUGACGGUUUCAACCUGUGAUGUAGACAUAGUCCCUGUUUUCAAUAAUUGGCCUUGGGCAGUCCUACACAAUUGGAACUUCAUAAUAAUGUAAAAUCAGCAGGGGACAUCUACAUAAUUAUAUGAUAUUCAUGUCAGAUUCAGACAGCAAGAGAGAGGUUCUUGGUGGCCUCCCUCUGCGGCAAACUCCCUUUUUGAAUAUACCUAAGCUACUCGCAGAUCCUGGAAGAAAGAGGUUAUAAAUAAUACUUCUAAGUACGGUAGCGACUUUGUGUGCUGCAGGAAGGAAGGGGGGUAGGCGGUGUGCUGGAAGAGCAAGAGUCUAAUGCUUAUUUCAAAAGUAAUGUAAGGAGUGAAACUGCUUUAUUGAUGCAACAAAUAGUUUUCUAGUUAUAUCGAAAGGCUACUUUAGAAGUCUUUGACAGAAGGUCCUUCAAGUUUUAUGCCAUUCUUUCAUCAAUACUAUAGACUGCCUAUUUUUAAAUAGUGAUAACAAAAAGUAAUGAGCAUUAUAACAAGCAAUCCAAGAAGUUGUUGGUGGUUUUUUUCUUUCAAAAUUGUCGCAAAGAACAGCAAUGGGUUACUUUUCAAAUAUAGGAGUAAUGAGAGAAGAAAUUCCUUACUCAAAUUAAUUAUCCAGGCUCUGCCCCAAAGCUGUUUAAUGCCUUUGCCAGCUAACAGGAUAACUGACCGCAGACUGUCACUGCCAGAUCAUACCGGAAAUAAUAAUAUUUGUAGCUUUGCCACUAGUAUAAUUUAACCUGGCUGGUUUCCUUAUUGGGAUGUUCUUCUCACCUUAUGAAGAAAGGCUUACAGUAAUUAAACCUGCUUUUAAUUAUUAAUUCUGAUAACUUCUUUUCUCCCAAUAGUACCCAAGGCAGCUCACAUUAAUUUUAAAAGAGGUGUGUAUGUAUAUAGGUAAAGGUAAAGGUUUUCUGAAGCUAAAGACCUGGCUAUGCGCGCAAGCGUUUAAUGAAUGAACUCAGUUAGCAUUGACAUGGAUUAGAUUUAGGCUUUUGCACAAGGUCUGAUGGAUGAUUGGUAUAUAUAUAUUUGGUGUUGCAUUGUGUUAAAUUUUUAUAUAUUGUAUUUUACUAUGUUAUUUAAUUAUUUUAACUGUUUUAUUCUUAUUGUAUUGUAUUAUGAUGUACUGGUAGUGAUCCUACCAGUUGUAUAAGCCGCCCUGAGUCCCCUCGGGGAGAAGAGCGGGGUAGAAAUAUUGGAAAUAAAUAAAUAAAUAAAUAAGUCUAGUCGAGUCCAACUCUGAGGCUUGGUCCUCAUCCAUUUCUAAACCAAAGAGCCGGUGUUGUUCAUGGUCACCUCCUAGGUCAUGUGGCCAGCAUGGCUGCAUGAAGUGCUAUUACUUCCCACCGGAGCAAUGCCUAUGUAUCUUCUCACAUUUGCAUGUUUUCGAACUGCUAGGUUGAUAGAAGCUGGGGCUAACAGUGGGAGCUCAUCCCGCUCCCCAGAUUCAUACUGUCGACCUUUUGGUCAGCAACUUCAGCAACUCAGCGGUUUAACCCGCUGUACCAGAGCUCCGUAUAUGUGUAUGUACCGUGUGUGUGUGUGUGUGU